Molecule: long non-coding RNA, 362 nt
Organism: Clupea harengus (Atlantic herring)
Lineage: Eukaryota; Metazoa; Chordata; Actinopteri; Clupeiformes; Clupeidae
Source: Ensembl
AAGGCAGCAUAAAGAGAUGCUCUGUUGUAUGUUGAAAGGAUUUGUAGGCUAAUUGUAAAAGUGGUAAACUACAGGAAGCAGUUGGCAGUGCGAUGGCUCAGGUGGCCUUUAUGUACAGGUGUGAGUGCCUUGGUACUAUGCUGUUCAUUCCAACACAGAGGUUGUAGCCUGCUUGGCCGUCCAGUCACAUACUGCACUCAAACCCUGAGCCAAAGGGAGCUUAAACCCAUGGCUGCUUGGGUCAGUCUCAUACUGCACUCAAACCCUGAGCCAAAGGGAGCUUAAACCCAUGGCUGCUUGGGUCAGUCACUGCUGCAUCCUUUAGGCAGUCAGGCAGUGAGGCCGACCCACUGCACAUGUUU